UAGGGAAUCUUCCGCAAUGGACGCAAGUCUGACGGAGCAACGCCGCGUGAGUGAAGAAGGAUUUCGGUUCGUAAAACUCUGUUGUUAGAGAAGAACAGCGCAUAGAGUAACUGUUAUGCGUGUGACGGUAUCUAACCAGAAAGCCACGGCUAACUACGUGCCAGCAGCCGCGGUAAUACGUAGGUGGCAAGCGUUGUCCGGAUUUAUUGGGCGUAAAGCGAGCGCAGGCGGUCAAUUAAGUCUGAUGUGAAAGCCCCCGGCUCAACCGGGGAGGGUCAUUGGAAACUGGUUGACUUGAGUGCAGAAGAGGAGAGUGGAAUUCCGUGUGUAGCGGUGAAAUGCAUAGAUAUAUGGAGGAACACCAGUGGCGAAGGCGACUCUCUGGUCUGUAACUGACGCUGAGGCUCGAAAGCGUGGGUAGCAAACAGG
This 429-nucleotide ribosomal RNA is filed under the name Bacteroidota bacterium. RNAcentral describes it as "Bacteroidetes bacterium partial 16S ribosomal RNA". It matches the Rfam family "Bacterial small subunit ribosomal RNA", at positions 355 to 776 of the family's 1533-position model. Lineage: Bacteria; Pseudomonadati; Bacteroidota. The record is from RNAcentral.